AGUGAACGCUGGCGGUAGGCCUAACACAUGCAAGUCGAACGGCAGCACAGUAAGAGCUUGCUCUUACGGGUGGCGAGUGGCGGACGGGUGAGGAAUACAUCGGAAUCUACUUUUUCGUGGGGGAUAACGUAGGGAAACUUACGCUAAUACCGCAUACGACCUACGGGUGAAAGCAGGGGAUCUUCGGACCUUGCGCGAUUGAAUGAGCCGAUGUCGGAUUAGCUAGUUGGCGGGGUAAAGGCCCACCAAGGCGACGAUCCGUAGCUGGUCUGAGAGGAUGGUCCGCCACCCUGGAACGUAGACACGGUCCCGACUCCUACGGGAGGGCGCAGUGGGGAAUAUUGGACAAUGGGCGCAAGCCUGAUCCAGCCAUACCGCGUGGGUGAAGAAGGCCUUCGGGUUGUAAAGCCCUUUUGUUGGGAAAGAAAAGCAGCAGGUUAAUACCCCGCUGUUCUGACGGUACCCAAAGAAUAAGCACCGGCUAACUUCGUG
RNAcentral lists this ribosomal RNA (492 nucleotides) under uncultured bacterium. RNAcentral describes it as "partial 16S ribosomal RNA". It matches the Rfam family "Bacterial small subunit ribosomal RNA", at positions 29 to 507 of the family's 1533-position model. The record is from RNAcentral.